CCUACGGGAGGCAGCAGUGGGGAAUUUUGGACAAUGGGCGAAAGCCUGAUCCAGCAAUGCCGCGUGAGUGAAGAAGGCCUUCGGGUUGUAAAGCUCUUUUGUCAGGGAAGAAACGGUGAGAGCUAAUAUCUCUUGCUAAUGACGGUACCUGAAGAAUAAGCACCGGCUAACUACGUGCCAGCAGCCGCGGUAAUACGUAGGGUGCAAGCGUUAAUCGGAAUUACUGGGCGUAAAGCGUGCGCAGGCGGUUUUGUAAGUCUGAUGUGAAAUCCCCGGGCUCAACCUGGGAAUUGCAUUGGAGACUGCAAGGCUAGAAUCUGGCAGAGGGGGGUAGAAUUCCACGUGUAGCAGUGAAAUGCGUAGAUAUGUGGAGGAACACCGAUGGCGAAGGCAGCCCCCUGGGUCAAGAUUGACGCUCAUGCACGAAAGCGUGGGGAGCAAACAGGAUUAGAUACCCUGGUAGUCCACGCCCUAAACGAUGUCUACUAGUUGUCGGGUCUUAAUUGACUUGGUAACGCAGCUAACGCGUGAAGUAGACCGCCUGGGGAGUACGGUCGCAAGAUUAAAACUUAAAUGAAAUUGACGG
RNAcentral lists this ribosomal RNA (586 nucleotides) under uncultured bacterium. RNAcentral's name for it is "bacterial SSU rRNA". It matches the Rfam family "Bacterial small subunit ribosomal RNA", at positions 338 to 916 of the family's 1533-position model. The record is from RNAcentral.